RNAcentral lists this ribosomal RNA (440 nucleotides) under uncultured bacterium. RNAcentral describes it as "partial 16S ribosomal RNA". It matches the Rfam family "Bacterial small subunit ribosomal RNA", at positions 338 to 795 of the family's 1533-position model. The record is from RNAcentral.
CCUACGGGGGGCAGCAGUGGGGAAUAUUGCACAAUGGGGGAAACCCUGAUGCAGCGACGCCGCGUGAGUGAAGAAGUCUUUCGGUAUGUAAAGCUCUAUCAGCAGGGAAGAAAAUGACGGUACCUGAUUAAGAAGCCCCGGCGACCGCCGUGCCAGCGGCCGCGGUAAUACGUAGGGCGCAAGCGUUAUCCGGAUUUACUGGGUGUAAAGGGAGCGUAGACGGCAGCACAAGUCUGGCGUGUACUGCCGGGGCUUAACCCCGGAACUGCUUUGGAAACUGUGCAGCUAGAGUGCAGGAGAGGUAAGUGGAAUUCCGGGUGAGGCGGUGAAAUGCGUAGAUAUUAGAGGGAACACGGGUGGCGAGGGCGGCUUACUGGACUGUAACUGACGUUGUGGCUCGAAAGCGUGGGGAGCAAACAGGAUUAGAUACCCUAGUAGUC